This 426-nucleotide ribosomal RNA is filed under the name Agelastica alni. RNAcentral's name for it is "partial 16S large subunit ribosomal RNA". Lineage: Eukaryota; Metazoa; Arthropoda; Insecta; Coleoptera; Chrysomelidae. The record is from RNAcentral.
GUCCUUUUGAUUAUAAUUUAAGGUCUAGCCUGCCCACUGAAUAUUUGAAUGGCUGCAGUAUUUUGACUGUACUAAGGUAGCAUAAUCAUUAGUUUUUUAAUUGAAAGCUAGAAUGAAGGGUUGGAUGAGAAAAUUAGUGUCUUUAUAAAAAUAAUUUAGAAUUUUAUUUUUAAGUUAAAAAGCUUAAAUUUUUUUAAAAGACGAGAAGACCCUAUAGAGUUUUAUAAUUUAAUUUUAUUUAUAUUUAGAAUUUAUUAUAUAUUAUUUUUAAAUUAUUUAAUUGGGGCGAUUAAAAAAUUUAUUUAACUUUUUUUGUAUGUUUAUAUUAAUUUAUAAAUUAUUGAUCCAUGUAUUAUGAUUAUAAGAUAAAAUUACCUUAGGGAUAACAGCGUAAUUUUAUUAGAAAGUUCUUAUUGAUAAUAAAGA